Molecule: ribosomal RNA, 256 nt
Filed under: uncultured Glomus
Lineage: Eukaryota; Fungi; Glomeromycota; Glomeromycetes; Glomerales; Glomeraceae
Description: partial 18S ribosomal RNA
Rfam family: Eukaryotic small subunit ribosomal RNA
Source: RNAcentral
AAGCUCGUAGUUGAAUUUCGGGAUCAGACUGUCGGUCGUGCCUCGGUACGCACUGGCAUUAUUGGUUCCUACCUUCUGAAGAACCGCGAUGUCAUUAAUUUGGUGUCGCGGGGAAUCAGGACUGUUACUUUGAAAAAAUUAGAGUGUUUAAAGCAGGCUUACGCUUGAAUACAUUAGCAUGGAAUAAUGAAAUAGGACGUUUGAUUCUAUUUUGUUGGUUUCUAGGAUCGACGUAAUGAUUAAUAGGGUAGUUGGG